RNAcentral lists this ribosomal RNA (503 nucleotides) under uncultured bacterium. RNAcentral's name for it is "partial 16S ribosomal RNA". It matches the Rfam family "Bacterial small subunit ribosomal RNA", at positions 30 to 523 of the family's 1533-position model. The record is from RNAcentral.
AUUGAACGCUGGCGGCAGGCUUAACACAUGCAAGUCGAGCGGGGUGAUGGUGCUUGCACUAUCACUUAGCGGCGGACGGGUGAGUAAUGCUUAGGAAUCUGCCUAUUAGUGGGGGACAACAUCUCGAAAGGGAUGCUAAUACCGCAUACGUCCUACGGGAGAAAGCAGGGGAUCACUUGUGACCUUGCGCUAAUAGAUGAGCCUAAGUCGGACUAGCUAGUUGGAGGGAUAAAGGCCUACCAAGGCGACGAUCUGUAGCGGGUCUGAGAGGAUGAUCGGCCACACUGGGAGUGAGACACGGCCCAGACUCCUACGGGAGGCAGCAGUGGGGAAUAUUGGACAAUGGGGGGAACCCUGAUCCAGCCAUGCCGCGUGUGUGAAGAAGGCCUUAUGGUUGUAAAGCACUUUAAGCGAGGAGGAGGCUCUUUUGGUUAAUACCCAAGAUGAGUGGACGUUACUCGCAGAAUAAGCACCGGCUAACUCUGUGCCAGCAGCCGCAGUAA